GACGAACGCUGGCGGCGUGCCUAACACAUGCAAGUCGAGCGGAGUCGAUCGACGGAAGCCUUCGGGCGGAAGAUGGUUGACUUAGCGGCGGAUGGGGUGAGGUAACGCGUGGGCAACCUGCCUCGAAGACCGGGAUAACAGCCCGAAAGGGCUGCUAAUACCGGAUGUGGUCAAGGAUCCGCAUGGAUUUUGAUUAAAGGGGAAACCCGUUUCGAGAUGGGCCCGCGUCCUAUCAGCUAGUUGGUGAGGUAAAAAGCUCACCAAGGCGACGACGGGUAGCCGGCCUGAGAGGGUGACCGGCCACACUGGAACUGAGACACGGUCCAGACUCCUACGGGGGGCAGCAGUGGGGAAUCUUCCACAAUGGGCGAAAGCCUGAUGGAGCGACGCCGCGUGAGCGAAGAAGGCCUUCGGGUUGUAAAGCUCUGUCUGGAGGGACGAAGGAAGUGACGGUACCUCCGGAGGAAGCCACGGCUAACUACGUG
Molecule: ribosomal RNA, 485 nt
Filed under: uncultured bacterium
Lineage: Bacteria
Description: bacterial SSU rRNA
Rfam family: Bacterial small subunit ribosomal RNA
Source: RNAcentral